This 440-nucleotide ribosomal RNA is filed under the name uncultured bacterium. RNAcentral describes it as "partial 16S ribosomal RNA". It matches the Rfam family "Bacterial small subunit ribosomal RNA", at positions 338 to 795 of the family's 1533-position model. The record is from RNAcentral.
CCUACGGGAGGCAGCAGUGGGGAAUAUUGCACAAUGGGGGAAACCCUGAUGCAGCGACGCCGCGUGAGUGAAGAAGUAAUUCGUUAUGUAAAGCUCUAUCAGCAGCGAAGAAAAUGACGGUACCUGAGUAAGAAGCCCCGGCUAACUACGUGCCAGCAGCCGCGGUAAUACGUAGGGGGCAAGCGUUAUCCGGAUUUACUGGGUGGAAAGGGAGCGUAGACGGCAGUGCAAGUCUGGAGUGAAAGGCGGGGGCUCAACCCCCGGACUGCUCUGGAAACUGUACGGCUGGAGUGCAGGAGAGGUAAGUGGAAUUCCUAGGGUAGCGGUGAAAUGCGUAGAUAUUAGGAGGAACACCAGUGGCGAAGGCGGCUUACUGGACUGUAACUGACGUUGAGGCUCGAAAGCGUGGGGAGCAAACAGGAUUAGAUACCCGAGUAGUC